This 134-nucleotide ribosomal RNA is filed under the name uncultured bacterium. RNAcentral's name for it is "partial 16S ribosomal RNA". The record is from RNAcentral.
UCUUGCGUAUUAGAGAGUUUGUUUCCUUUCCUGCUUAAUCAUUUUACAACCGUAAGGGCUUCUUCCUUCCCGCGGCAUGGCUGGAUCAGGGUUGCCCCCAUUGUCCAAAAUUCCCCACUGCUGCCUCCCGUAGG